GUUAAAAAGCUCGUAGUUGGAUUUCUGGCAGAGCCGGUUGGUCCGCGCCGCAAGGCGUGUGAACCGCUCCGCGCUCGGCCUUCUUGGGGAGGAAGGCGUCUGCCGUUCAUUCGGCGGGCGUCCGGAGCCCCCUCGUUUACUGUGAAAAAAUUAGAGUGUUUAAAGCAGGCUUACGCCGUUGAAUACAUUAGCAUGGAAUAAUAAGAUAAGACUUUGGCGGUCUAUUUUGUUGGUUUGCACGCCAAGGUAAUGAUUAAUAGGGAUAGUUGGGGGUAUUCGUAUUCAAUUGUCAGAGGUGAAAUUCUUGGAUUUAUGGAAGACGAACUACUGCGAAAGCAUUUACCAAGGAUGUUUUCAUUAAUCAAGAACGAAAGUUAGGGGAUCGAAGAUGAUUAGAUACCAUCGUAGUCUUAACCAUAAACUAUGCCGACUCGGGAUCAGCGGUCGUCUUACGACUCCGUUGGC
This 465-nucleotide ribosomal RNA is filed under the name uncultured marine eukaryote. RNAcentral describes it as "bacterial SSU rRNA". It matches the Rfam family "Eukaryotic small subunit ribosomal RNA", at positions 618 to 1084 of the family's 1831-position model. The record is from RNAcentral.